This is a non-coding RNA of Solanum lycopersicum (tomato), 345 nucleotides long. The record is from RefSeq and is a predicted model, not a curated record. NCBI's taxonomy places the organism in Eukaryota, Viridiplantae, Streptophyta, Magnoliopsida, Solanales, Solanaceae.
GAGUAUAAUAGAUUUGCAAUAAAAGUAAUUCAAGUUCCCUUUAAAUUCGCGUGAUCUUUCUCUCUCUACUCUCACUCCAUCUCUCUCUAGGGUUUCAGUUGGGCGCCGUUUUGAUUCACUCAAUCCCACAGUGUAAUCUGCUGGUUUCAAUCUCAUUCAACGCAUCUGCAAUUUUAGGGUUUCAAUUGGGCGCCGUUUCUGGUAUAUUCGAUCCCUCAGUGUAAUUUGCUGGUUACCAUCUCAUUUGCCGCAUCUACAAUUUUCAGGAAUCACAUUGCAAUGGAAGUCACUCAGGUCCUUCUAAAUGCACAAUCAGUUGAUUCAACAGUGCGAAAACAUGCAGAA